AUUGAACGCUGGCGGAAUGCUUUACACAUGCAAGUCGAACGGCAGCACGGGGGCAACCCUGGUGGCGAGUGGCGAACGGGUGAGUAAUACAUCGGAACGUGCCCAGUCGUGGGGGAUAACUACGCGAAAGCGUAGCUAAUACCGCAUACGAACUCUGGUUGAAAGCGGGGGAUCGCAAGACCUCGCGCGAUUGGAGCGGCCGAUGGCAGAUUAGGUAGUUGGUGAGGUAAAGGCUCACCAAGCCGACGAUCUGUAGCUGGUCUGAGAGGACGACCAGCCACACAGGGACUGAGACACGGCCCAGACUCCUACGGGAGGCAGCAGUGGGGAAUUUUGGACAAUGGGCGCAAGCCUGAUCCAGCCAUUCCGCGUGCAGGAUGAAGGCCCUCGGGUUGUAAACUGCUUUUGUACGGAACGAAACGGUCCUGGUUAAUACCCGGGGCUAAUGACGGUACCGUAAGAAUAAGCACCGGCUAACUACGUG
Molecule: ribosomal RNA, 484 nt
Filed under: uncultured bacterium
Lineage: Bacteria
Description: partial 16S ribosomal RNA
Rfam family: Bacterial small subunit ribosomal RNA
Source: RNAcentral